CACGUGUACCACCUUUCCUGCCUCUGACCACAAGGGCAGACCCCUAUUGACCGCAAAAGAACAAGCCUCUGGGCUCCCUCUUCAAGGGGCAGUGAGCUUCAGCGUCUGGGGGCUGGUUAGUUGUUUGGUUAGUGCAAGCUUCGUGCUCCUCACCACGAAUUUUUGCUGACACCCAGUCCAGCCGGUGGGGCUGCAGCUGGGGUGGGACCCUGGGGGCGGACAGCUGCCCUCCCAGCCGUGCUCCUAGCGUCAUUAGGACCCUGCCAGGUACAGGUGAGACUAACAGCUGGGAGAGCUGCCUCAGGCACUUAGGAUCGGGCUGGAAAGGUGAGUCAGUCCAGUGGGGGCAGGGCUCUGGAAUUGGGAUCUGCAGCCCAAGUUGGAGGUGCCCCCCCCAUGUCACCUGGAGAGAAACUGGACCCGCUUCCUGACACCUUCAUCCUGCAGCCGCCAGUCUUCCACCCGGUGGUUCCUUAUGUCACGACGAUUUUUGGUGGCCUGCGAGCAGGCAAGAUGGUCCAGCUCCAGGGAGUGGUCCCUCUAGAUGCGCGCAGGUUCCAGGUGGACUUCCAGUGCGGCUGCAGCCUACAUCCCCGGCCAGAUAUUGCCAUCCAUUUCAACCCUCGCUUCCAUACCACCAAGCCCCACGUCAUCUGCAACACCCUUCAGGGCGGGCACUGGCAAGCCGAGGCCCGGUGGCCCCACCUGGCCCUGCAGAGAGGAGCCAGCUUCCUCAUCCUCUUUCUCUUUGGAAAUGAGGAGAUGAAGGUGAGCGUGAAUGGACUCCACUUUCUCCACUACCGCUACCGGCUCCCGCUGUCCCGUGUAGACACCCUGGGCAUAUACGGUGACAUCUUGGUGACAGCCGUCGGGUUUCUGAACAUCAACCCGUUUGUGGAGGGCGGUAGCGAGUAUCCGGUUGGACACCCUUUCCUGCUGAAGAGCCCCAGGCUGGAGGUGCCCUGUUCGCGUGCCCUUCCCCGGGGUCUCUGGCCUGGACAGGUCAUCAUAGUGCGGGGACUGGUCUUGCCAGAGCCGAAGGAUUUCACGCUCCGUCUGCGGGACGAGGCCGCCCACGUUCCUGUGACGCUCAGGGCAUCCUUCGCAGACCGAACUCUAGCCUGGGUCUCGCGCUGGGGCGGGAAGAAGCUGAUCCCGGCCCCCUUCCUCUUCUACCCCCAGCGAUUCUUCGAGGGUUCCAGGCUCUAAUUGUUGUUCAUUGGACUUCAAGUUCCCUUCAAGGAGUUAGAACGCAAAGCCUCCGGCCAAGCAGGUGAGCAGGUCAGGAGGUGUAUCUGCAGACCUCUCUUCUCCCUGGAUUAUAAAAAGACAUGAAUGACCACACGCCUGUUGUCAUCUCUCCCUGAUUGUCAGGAAGUCAUCCCUCAGUUCACUGCCCUCUCAGCAUCACUUAUCUCAAUAAAUUCUACUUUCUCUCCACCUCGCCAUGCCCAAGAAACUCUGCUUUCUUUUCACCCUGCUGACACAAGUCCGGAAAGUCUUCUUCCAACCCACGUGCACAGACCAAGACAUUGUUGAUCACAAGGGUGUCUCCCCGGACCCUGGUGUGUCCUCCCACCAUAAAAAGAACCCAGCCCUCUUAGAGGACACCUGAGAAGAGCACUGAACAGCCAAGACGCACCUUGCUGUAGCUGGGAAGGAGCCCACGUCAGUCAGCUCGGGCGCCACAACAACACACCACAGAUCGAGCAGCUUAAACAACAGCUGUCUUUCCCACCCUUUUGUAAGCUGAGAAGUUCAAGAUCAAGGUGACAUUGACAGCACUUAUGCCUCGAACCAGCCUAAACCCAGAUGGGGACUUGAACCCAGAGUUUUUAAACUAGAAUCACUCACCCGGUGUCUGGACUCACUGA
Molecule: RNA transcript, 1874 nt
Organism: Sus scrofa (pig)
Lineage: Eukaryota; Metazoa; Chordata; Mammalia; Artiodactyla; Suidae
Gene: LGALS12
Gene name: galectin 12
Source: RefSeq, marked provisional